GACGGAGGAUGCAAGCGUUAUCCGGAAUGAUUGGCGUAAAGCGUCCGCAGGUGGCAGUUCAAGUCUGCUGUCAAAGACCGGGGCUUAACUUCGGAAAGGCAGUGGAAACUGAACAGCUAGAGUAUGGUAGGGGCAGAGGGAAUUCCUGGUGUAGGCGGUGAAAUGCGUAGAGAUCAGGAAGAACAUCGGUGGCGAAGGCGCUCUGCUGGACCAUAACUGACACUCAGGGACGAAAGCUAGGGGAGCGAAUGGG
Molecule: ribosomal RNA, 253 nt
Filed under: uncultured bacterium
Lineage: Bacteria
Description: partial 16S ribosomal RNA
Rfam family: Bacterial small subunit ribosomal RNA
Source: RNAcentral